AGGCCAUGAUGAGGUCAACGUUGAAGCAAUUCUUUGUAUCAUUCCCAGACUUCAUACAAUGAUUUUGAAUCUUGUUGCAAGAAUGAUGUGAUGCCAUUUCACAAUUU
This 107-nucleotide small nucleolar RNA is filed under the name Theobroma cacao (cacao). Its description in RNAcentral is "Plant small nucleolar RNA R71". It matches the Rfam family "Plant small nucleolar RNA R71". From Rfam's summary of the family: R71 is a member of the C/D box family of snoRNAs containing the C (UGAUGA) and D (CUGA) box motifs. The record is from Rfam by way of RNAcentral. Lineage: Eukaryota; Viridiplantae; Streptophyta; Magnoliopsida; Malvales; Malvaceae.